UACACAUGCACUUAUCCGGAGUUUCAGUAGCUUCCAAGUAGCAACGAAAGAAAUGGUUUGCUGUUCAGACAAUUGAGAUCUCAUCUUUGUCAAUGGCGAGCGGAGUAAAACUAGGCACAAGAGCAUGUUGGGGUUCGCUCGUCGAAGGCAAUGAACGUUUCGCUGCCAUACUAGACUCUCCAAUCUGAGACACAAGGCGAGACCUGCAAGUUUAAGCGAUCUCUUCUUGCUGAAGCCGUGAAAGUGAUUUCCUAUCACUACCAAACAUUUCUAACAUUACAGCAUUGACAUUUUCAAUAGUAUUCUCAAUCAAGCUGCUCACCGUUGGCGAAAAUUGGAGGAGUGCUUGCCAAAACCAAGCAAGGAAUGACUUGAACAACAACCAGUGAAGUUUUGGAACUCAUGGUGUAGAGUCUGCAACUUGACUUGAACCACCAUUGAUGAGCAGUUAAUGAGCCAUGGAAGGAUGUUCGAAGGAUUGCCCAAGCCUCCUUUGCUGUUGAAGCUGCUGCAAUUUUUGAGAAGAUUGAAUCAUCCACUGCUUGUUGGAUGAAGAACAGUGCCUUUGAUUCUUUCUUCUUGUUUUCUUUCAGUUUAGCCUCAUCAUCAUUCUCACUGUACCCAUUCUCCACUAAGUCCCAAAGCCCUUGAGACUUAAACAGAGUUUUCAUCUUGAUGCUCCAAAAUUCAUAGUUUUUGCCUUUGAAAAUGGGUAUUGAAGGUUGAGAGGCAUUUACUGCACUGCCGUUGUUGAUUGCCAUUUGAGUACGCCCAAGACGAAGUGUAACAGCUCUGAUACCAAUCUGCUGGCUUUUUAACAGAGAAAUAACAGAGAACAAGACGAUAGAGAGAUAGAAUGUCGGGGCAAGUAGUUUCUGAAAUUUUAUUACCGUUAAGCUUUCUGAAAUACAACUGGAAUUCACUGAAAUAAAUAGAUAAAUGAGCCAAAAAAUUUUCCUAAUCUUAAGGAACAAGCAAACAGAAUAAUAGAAAAAUAAAUAUUUUAUUCCAGAUUUUUUGCUACCCAUAUCUGCUAGAUUGUGGAGGUUGUUUUCGAUAUUUGCUGAAACAGGUUUUGGAUCAUAUCUUCAACAUCUUCCUUGAGCAAUAGAUAAUGGUGAUGUAUAACUGAUUUGCAGACUUACAGUUUGCUUCCGUGAUCCUUGCACAGCAGAUGUCUCCGGAGGCAUUUCUCCUUUGUUUCUUCUUUCAUUUACCAGAAGAAUCGCACAUCUGCAGGUGCAAUACAUAAGCGACACUGAGAGAAAAGAUUAUCAAAAACUCGAUGAUGAAGGCUGAUCCUAAGACUGUAACCACAUUUAUGAUGAGUUUGUAAAUGGUCAAAUAUAUAUAUAUAUAUAUAUAUAAAGGAACUUCCAUUUCCUUGCCUUUC
Long non-coding RNA from Prosopis cineraria, 1393 nucleotides. RefSeq lists it as uncharacterized. The transcript is spliced from 2 exons. The record is from RefSeq and is a predicted model, not a curated record. NCBI's taxonomy places the organism in Eukaryota, Viridiplantae, Streptophyta, Magnoliopsida, Fabales, Fabaceae.